UAAGCGUGUAGGCUGAUUUUCCAGGCAAAUCCGGAAAAUCAAGGCUGAGGCGUGAUGACGAGGCACUACGGUGCUGAAGCAACAAAUGCCCUGCUUCCAGGAAAAGCCUCUAAGCAUCAGGUAACAUCAAAUCGUACCCCAAACCGACACAGGUGGUCAGGUAGAGAAUACCAAGGCGCUUGAGAGAACUCGGGUGAAGGAACUAGGCAAAAUGGUGCCGUAACUUCGGGAGAAGGCACGCUGAUAUGUAGGUGAAGUCCCUCGCGGAUGGAGCUGAAAUCAGUCGAAGAUACCAGCUGGCUGCAACUGUUUAUUAAAAACACAGCACUGUGCAAACACGAAAGUGGACGUAUACGGUGUGACGCCUGCCCGGUGCCGGAAGGUUAAUUGAUGGGGUCAGCGCAAGCGAAGCUCUUGAUCGAAGCCCCGGUAAACGGCGGCCGUAACUAUAACGGUCCUAAGGUAGCGAAAUUCCUUGUCGGGUAAGUUCCGACCUGCACGAAUGGCGUAAUGAUGGCCAGGCUGUCUCCACCCGAGACUCAGUGAAAUUGAACUCGCUGUGAAGAUGCAGUGUACCCGCGGCAAGACGGAAAGACCCCGUGAACCUUUACUAUAGCUUGACACUGAACAUUGAGCCUUGAUGUGUAGGAUAGGUGGGAGGCUUUGAAGUGUGGACGCCAGUCUGCAUGGAGCCGGCCUUGAAAUACCACCCUUUAAUGUUUGAUGUUCUAACGUGGACCCGUAAUCCGGGUUGCGGACAGUGUCUGGUGGGUAGUUUGACUGGGGCGGUCUCCUCCUAAAGAGUAACGGAGGAGCACGAAGGUUGGCUAAUCCUGGUCGGACAUCAGGAGGUUAGUGCAAUGGCAUAAGCCAGCUUGACUGCGAGCGUGACGGCGCGAGCAGGUGCGAAAGCAGGUCAUAGUGAUCCGGUGGUUCUGAAUGGAAGGGCCAUCGCUCAACGGAUAAAAGGUACUCCGGGGAUAACAGGCUGAUACCGCCCAAGAGUUCAUAUCGACGGCGGUGUUUGGCACCUCGAUGUCGGCUCAUCACAUCCUGGGGCUGAAGUAGGUCCCAAGGGUAUGGCUGUUCGCCAUUUAAAGUGGUACGCGAGCUGGGUUUAGAACGUCGUGAGACAGUUCGGUCCCUAUCUGCCGUGGGCGCUGGAGAACUGAGGGGGGCUGCUCCUAGUACGAGAGGACCGGAGUGGACGCAUCACUGGUGUUCGGGUUGUCAUGCCAAUGGCACUGCCCGGUAGCUAAAUGCGGAAGAGAUAAGUGCUGAAAGCAUCUAAGCACGAAACUUGCCCCGAGAUGAGUUCUCCCUGACCCUUUAAGGGUCCUGAAGGAACGUUGAAGACGACGACGUUGAUAGGCCGGGUGUGUAAGCGCAGCGAUGCGUUGAGCUAACCGGUACUAAUGAACCGUGAGGCUUAACCUUACAACGCCGAAG
This 1449-nucleotide ribosomal RNA is filed under the name Shigella boydii. Its description in RNAcentral is "partial 23S ribosomal RNA". It matches the Rfam family "Bacterial large subunit ribosomal RNA", at positions 1513 to 2925 of the family's 2925-position model. Lineage: Bacteria; Pseudomonadati; Pseudomonadota; Gammaproteobacteria; Enterobacterales; Enterobacteriaceae. The record is from RNAcentral.